RNAcentral lists this ribosomal RNA (424 nucleotides) under uncultured bacterium. Its description in RNAcentral is "bacterial SSU rRNA". It matches the Rfam family "Bacterial small subunit ribosomal RNA", at positions 355 to 776 of the family's 1533-position model. The record is from RNAcentral.
UGGGGAAUAUUGCACAAUGGGCGCAAGCCUGAUGCAGCCAUGCCGCGUGAAGGAUGACUGCCCUAUGGGUUGUAAACUUCUUUUAUAUGGGAAUAAAGUUUUCCACGUGUGGAAUUUUGUAUGUACCAUAUGAAUAAGGAUCGGCUAACUCCGUGCCAGCAGCCGCGGUAAUACGGAGGAUCCGAGCGUUAUCCGGAUUUAUUGGGUUUAAAGGGAGCGUAGGUGGACAGUUAAGUCAGUUGUGAAAGUUUGCGGCUCAACCGUAAAAUUGCAGUUGAUACUGGCUGUCUUGAGUACAGUAGAGGUGGGCGGAAUUCGUGGUGUAGCGGUGAAAUGCUUAGAUAUCACGAAGAACUCCGAUUGCGAAGGCAGCUCACUGGACUGCAACUGACACUGAUGCUCGAAAGUGUGGGUAUCAAACAGG